This 497-nucleotide ribosomal RNA is filed under the name uncultured bacterium. RNAcentral describes it as "partial 16S ribosomal RNA". It matches the Rfam family "Bacterial small subunit ribosomal RNA", at positions 28 to 507 of the family's 1533-position model. The record is from RNAcentral.
GAUGAACGCUGGCGGCGUGCCUAAUACAUGCAAGUCGAGCGAACGGACGAGAAGCUUGCUUUUCUGAUGUUAGCGGCGGACGGGUGAGUAACACGUGGAUAACCUACCUAUAAGACUGGGAUAACUUCAGGAAACCGGAGCUAAUACCGGAUAAUAUUUUGAACCGCAUGGUUCAAAAGUGAAAGACGGUCUUGCUGUCACUUAUAGAUGGAUCCGCGCUGCAUUAGCUAGUUGGUAAGGUAACGGCUUACCAAGGCAACGAUGCAUAGCCGACCUGAGAGGGUGAUCGGCCACACUGGAACUGAGACACGGUCCAGACUCCUACGGGAGGCAGCAGUAGGGAAUCUUCCGCAAUGGGCGAAAGCCUGACGGAGCAACGCCGCGUGAGUGAUGAAGGUCUUCGGAUCGUAAAACUCUGUUAUUAGGGAAGAACAUAUGUGUAAGUAACUGUGCACAUCUUGACGGUACCUAAUCAGAAAGCCACGGCUAACUACGUG